AUUGAACGCUGGCGGCAUGCCUAACACAUGCAAGUCGAGCGAGCGGCGGACGGGUGAGUAAUGUCUGGGAAACUGCCUGAUGGAGGGGGAUAACUACUGGAAACGGUAGCUAAUACCGCAUACCAUCAGAUGUUCCCAGAUGGGAUUAGCUAGUAGGUGUGGUAAUGGCUUACCUAGGCGACGAUCCCUAGCUGGUCUGAGAGGAUGAUCAGCCACACUGGAACUGAGACACGGGCCAGACUCCUACGGGAGGCAGCAGUGGGGAAUAUUGCACAAUGGGCGCAAGCCUGAUGCAGCCAUGCCGCGUGUGUGAAGAAGGCCUUCGGGUUGUAAAGCACUUUCAGCGGGGAGGCGUUACCCUAAGAAGAAGCAACGGCUAACUACGUGCCAGCAGCCGCGGUAAUUC
This 406-nucleotide ribosomal RNA is filed under the name uncultured bacterium. RNAcentral's name for it is "partial 16S ribosomal RNA". It matches the Rfam family "Bacterial small subunit ribosomal RNA", at positions 30 to 526 of the family's 1533-position model. The record is from RNAcentral.